GAUGAACGCUGGCGGCGUGCCUAAUACAUGCAAGUCGAACGAACAGAUGGUAAGCUUUCGCCUCUGACGGUGGCGGCGGACGGGCGAGUAACGCGUAGAUAGCCUUCUUAUAUUACGGGGAGGACAUCGGAAAGCCGGAGAUACUACUGGCUAAUAUAAUGAACCGCAUGGAGCAAUAGUUCUAGACGGUUUUGCCGUCUCUAUGAGAUGCUGCCGGGUCGCAUUAGCUAGUUGGUAAGGUAACGGCUUACCAAGGCAACGAUGCGUAGCCGACCUGAGAGGAUGAUCGGCCACACUGGAACUGAGACACGGUCCAGACUCCUACGGGAGGCAGCAGUAGGGAAUAUUGCACAAUGGGCGAAAGCCUGAUGCAGCAAUGCCGCGUGAGUGAUGAAGGUCUUCGGGUCGUAAAGCUCUGUUAUUAGGGAAGAAAAAAAGUGGAAGAAACUCUGGACGUCUUGACGGUACCUAAUGAGAAAGCACCGGCUAACUACGUG
This 497-nucleotide ribosomal RNA is filed under the name uncultured bacterium. RNAcentral's name for it is "partial 16S ribosomal RNA". It matches the Rfam family "Bacterial small subunit ribosomal RNA", at positions 28 to 507 of the family's 1533-position model. The record is from RNAcentral.